ACACAGAGGCCGCCCGCCAAGUAUGGUGCCAUUCCGAGUCCCGCGGACGAACUUCGCCCACGCCCCCCACCAAGGCUAUAGCCCACGCGUUUUUUGGCCUUUUUUCCGCUGGGGGGUCUUGGGACCCCGACCUUCGGGGGCUGAUUUUUGGGCGCGGCUGUGCCCGUGGCCUAUUUUUGGCACACCGAGGCCGCCCGCCAAGUAUGGUGCCAUUCCGAGUCCCGCGGACGAACUUCGCCCACGUCCCCCACCAAAGCUAUAGCCCACGCGUUUUUUGGCCAUUUUUCCGCUGGGGGGUAUUGGGACCCCGACCUUCGGGGGCUGAUUUUUGGGCGCGGCUGUGCCCGUGGCCUAUUUUUGGCACACAGAGGCCGCCCGCCAAGUAUGGUGCCAUUCCGAGUCCCGCGGACGAACUUCGCCCACGCCCCCCACCAAGGCUAUAGCGCACCCGUUUUUUGGCCAUUUUUCCGCCGGGGGGUCUUGGGACCCCGACCUUCGGGGGCUGAUUUUUGGGCGCGGCUGUGCCCGUGGCCUAUUUUUAGCACACGGAGGCCGCCCGCCAAGUAUGGUGCCAUUCCGAGUCCCGCGGACGAACUUCGCCCACGCCCCCCACCAAGGCUAUAGCCCACGCGUUUUUUGACCAUUUUUCCGCUGGGGGGUCUUGGGACCCCGACCUUCGGGGGCUGAUUUUUGGGCGCGGCUGUGCCCGUGGCCUAUUUUUGGCACACCGAGGCCGCCCGCCAAGUAUGGUGCCAUUCCGAGUCCCGCGGACGAACUUCGCCCACGCCCCCCACCAAGGCUAUAGCCCACGCGUUUUUUGACCAUUUUUCCGCUGGGGGGUCUUGGGACCCCGACGUUCGGGGGCUGAUUUUUGGGCGCGGCUGUGCCCGUGGCCUAUUUUUGGCACACGGAGGCCGCCCGCCAAGUAUGGUGCCAUUCCGAGUCCCACGGACGAACUUCGCCCACGCCCCCCACCAAGGCUAUAGCCCACGCGUUUUUUGGCCAUUUUUCCGCUGGGGGGUCUUGGGACCCCGACCUUCGGGGGCUGAUUUUUGGGCGCGGCUGUUCCCGUGGCCUAUUUUUGGCACACAGAGGCCGCCCGCCAAGUAUGGUGCCAUUCCGAGUCCCGCGGACGAACUUCGCCUACGCCCCCCACCAAGGCUAUAGCCCACCCUUUUUUUGGCCAUUUUUCCGCUGGGGGGUCUUGGGACCCCGACCUUCGGGGGCUGAUUUUUGGGCGCGGCUGUGCCCGUGGCCUAUUUUUGGCACACGGAGGCCGCCCGCCAAGUCUGGGGCCAUUCCGAGUCCCGCGGACGAACUUCGCCCACGCCCCCCACCAAGGCUAUAGCCCACCCUUUUUUUGGCCAUUUUUCCGCUGGGGGGUCUUGGGACCCCGACCUUCGGGGGCUGAUUUUUGGGCGCGGCUGUGCACGUGGCCUAUUUUUGGCACACAGAGGCCGCCCGCCAAGUAUGGUGCCAUUCCGAGUCCCGCGGACGAACUUCGCCCACGCCCCCCACCAAGGCUAUAGCCCACGCGUUUUUUGGCCAUUUUUCCGCUGGGGGGACUUGGGACCCCGACCUUCGGGGGCUGAUUUUUGGGCGCGGCUGUGCCCGUGGCCUAUUUUUGGCACACAGAGGCCGCCCGCCAAGUCUGGUGCCAUUCAGAGUCCCGCGGACGAACUUCGCCCACGCCCCCCACCAAGGCUAUAGCCCACGCGUUUUUUGGCCAUUUUUCCGCUGGGGGGUCUUGGGACCCCGACCUUCGGGGGCUGAUUUUUGGGCGCGGCUGUGCCCGUGGCCUAUUUUUGGCACACGGAGGCCGCCCGCCAAGUAUGGUGCCAUUCCGAGUCCCGCGGACGAACUUCGCCCACGCCCCCCACCAAGGCUAUAGCCCACCCGUUUUUUGGCCAUUUUUCCGCUGGGGGGUCUUGGGACCCCGACCUUCGGGGGCUGAUUUUUGGGCGCGGCUGUGCCCGUGGCCUAUUUUUGGCACACAGAGGCCGCCCGCCUAGUAUGGUGCCAUUCCGAGUCCCGCGGACGAACUUCGCCCACGCCCCCCACCAAGGCUAUAGCCCACCCGUUUUUUGGCCAUUUUUCCGCUGGGGGGUCUUGGGACCCCGACCUUCGGGGGCUGAUUUUUGGGCGCGGCUGUGCCCGUGGCCUAUUUUUGGCACACAGAGGCCGCCCGCCAAGUAUGGUGCCAUUCCGAGUCCCGCGGACGAACUUCGCCCACGCCCCCCACCAAGGCUAUAGCCCACCCGUUUCUUGGCCAUUUUUCCGCUGGGGGGUCUUGGGACCCCGACCUUCGGGGGCUGAUUUUUGGGCGCGGCUGUGCCCGUGGCCUAUUUUUGGCACACCGAGGCCGCCCGCCAAGUAUGGUGCCAUUCCGAGUCCCGCGGACGAACUUCGCCCACGCCCCCCACCAAGGCUAUAGCCCACGCGUUUUUUGGCCAUUUUUCCGCUGGGGGGUCUUGGGACCCCGACCUUCGGGGGCUGAUUUUUGGGCGCGGCUGUGCCCGUGGCCUAUUUUUGGCACACAGAGGCCGCCCGCCAAGUAUGGUGCCAUUCCGAGUCCCGCGGACGAACUUCGCCCACGCCCCCCACCAAGGCUAUAGCGCACCCGUUUUUUGGCCAUUUUUCCGCCGGGGGGUCUUGGGACCCCGACCUUCGGGGGCUGAUUUUUGGGCGCGGCUGUGCCCGUGGCCUAUUUUUAGCACACGGAGGCCGCCCGCCAAGUAUGGUGCCAUUCCGAGUCCCGCGGACGAACUUCGCCCACGCCCCCCACCAAGGCUAUAGCCCACGCGUUUUUUGACCAUUUUUCCGCUGGGGGGUCUUGGGACCCCGACCUUCGGGGGCUGAUUUUUGGGCGCGGCUGUGCCCGUGGCCUAUUUUUGGCACACCGAGGCCGCCCGCCAAGUAUGGUGCCAUUCCGAGUCCCGCGGACGAACUUCGCCCACGCCCCCCACCAAGGCUAUAGCCCACGCGUUUUUUGACCAUUUUUCCGCUGGGGGGUCUUGGGACCCCGACGUUCGGGGGCUGAUUUUUGGGCGCGGCUGUGCCCGUGGCCUAUUUUUGGCACACGGAGGCCGCCCGCCAAGUAUGGUGCCAUUCCGAGUCCCACGGACGAACUUCGCCCACGCCCCCCACCAAGGCUAUAGCCCACGCGUUUUUUGGCCAUUUUUCCGCUGGGGGGUCUUGGGACCCCGACCUUCGGGGGCUGAUUUUUGGGCGCGGCUGUGCCCGUGGCCUAUUUUUGGCACACGGAGGCCGCCCGCCAAGUAUGGUGCCAUUCUGAGUCCCGCGGACGAACUUCGCCCACGCCCCCCACCAAGGCUAUAGCCCACCCGUUUUUUGGCCAUUUUUCCGCUGGGGGGUCUUUGGACCCCGACCUUCGGGGGCUGAUUUUUGGGCGCGGCUGUGCCCGUGGCCUAUUUUUGGCACACAGAGGCCGCCCGCCUAGUAUGGUGCCAUUCCGAGUCCCGCGGACGAACUUCGCCCACGCCCCCCACCAAGGCUAUAGCCCACGCGUUUUUUGGCCUUUUUUCCGCUGGGGGGUCUUGGGACCCCGACCUUCGGGGGCUGAUUUUUGGGCGCGGCUGUGCCCGUGGCCUAUUUUUGGCACACAGAGGCCGCCCGCCAAGUAUGGUGCCAUUCCGAGUCCCGCGGACGAACUUCGCCCACGCCCCCCACCAAGGCUAUAGCCCACGCGUUUUUUGGCCAUUUUUCCGCUGGGGGGUUUUGGGACCCCGACCUUCGGGGGCUGAUUUUUGGGCGUGGCUGUGCCCGUGGCCUAUUUUUGGCACACGGAGGCCGCCCGCCAAGUAUGGUGCCAUUCCGAGUCCCGCGGACGAACUUCGCCCACGCCCCCCACCAAGGCUAUAGCCCACCCGUUUUUUGGCCAUUUUUCCGCUGGGGGGUCUUGGGACCCCGACCUUCGGGGGCUGAUUUUUGGGCGCGGCUGUGCCCGUGGCCUAUUUUUGGCACACAGAGGCCGCCCGCCAAGUAUGGUGCCAUUCCGAGUCCCGCGGACGAACUUCGCCCACGCCCCCCACCAAGGCUAUAGCCCACGCGUUUUUUGGCCUUUUUUCCGCUGGGGGGUCUUGGGACCCCGAUCUUCGGGGGCUGAUUUUUGGGCGCGGCUGUGCCCGUGGCCUAUUUUUCGCAAACAGAGGCCGCCCGCCAAGUAUGGUGCCAUUCCGAGUCCCGCGGACGAACUUCGCCCACGCCCCCCACCAAGGCUAUAGCCCACGCGUUUUUUGGCCAUUUUUCCGCUGGGGGGUCUUGGGACCCCGACCUUCGGGGGCUGAUUUUUGGGCGCGGCUGUGCCCGUGGCCUAUUUUUGGAACACCGAGGCCGCCCGCCAAGUGUGGUGCCAUUCCGAGUCCCGCGGACGAACUUCGCCCACGCCCCCCACCAAGGCUAUAGCCCAUGCGUUUUUUGGCCUUUUUUCCGCUGGGGGGUCUUGGGACCCCGACCUUCGGGGGCUGAUUUUUGGGCGCGGCUGUGCCCGUGGCCUAUUUUUGGCACACAGAGGCCGCCCGCCAAGUAUGGUGCCAUUCCGAGUCCCGCGGACGAACUUCGCCCACGCCCCCCACCAAGGCUAUAGCCCACGCGUUUUUUGGCCAUUUUUCCGCUGGGGGGUCUUGGGACCCCGACCUUCGGGGGCUGAUUUUUGGGCGCGGCUGUGUCCGUGGCCUAUUUUUGGCACACAGAGGCCGCCCGCCAAGUAUGGUGCCAUUCCGAGUCCCGCGGACGAACUUCGCCCACGCCCCCCACCAAGGCUAUAGCCCACCCGUUUUUUGGCCAUUUUU
Molecule: long non-coding RNA, 4811 nt
Filed under: Citrus x clementina
Lineage: Eukaryota; Viridiplantae; Streptophyta; Magnoliopsida; Sapindales; Rutaceae
Description: Citrus clementina (C. clementina) long non-coding RNA (CCLE_LNC006050)
Source: RNAcentral